RNAcentral lists this ribosomal RNA (1294 nucleotides) under human gut metagenome. RNAcentral describes it as "bacterial LSU rRNA". It matches the Rfam family "Bacterial large subunit ribosomal RNA", at positions 1637 to 2925 of the family's 2925-position model. The record is from RNAcentral.
GCCGCCCGUACCCCAAACCGACACUGGUGGUCAGGUAGAGAAUACCAAAGCGAUCGAGCGAAUCCUGGUCAAGGAACUCGGCAAAUUGCUCCCGUGCCUUCGGCAUAAGGGAGACCCCCUGCGGUGAUGAGCGGCGGGGGGUGGCACAGGCCAGGGGGUAGCGACUGUUUACCAAAAACACAGGAGCGUGCGAAGGCGCAAGCCGCUGUAUACGCUCUGACGCCUGCCCGGUGCCGGAAGGUUAAGAGGAUCCGUCAGCUUUCUGCGAAGCGGUGAAUUCAAGCCCCGGUAAACGGCGGUGGUAACUAUAACCAUCCUAAGGUAGCGAAAUUCCUUGUCGGGUAAGUUCCGACCUGCACGAAUGGCGUAACGACUUCCCCACUGUCUCGACCAGGAGCUCGGCGAAAUUGCAGUACGAGUAAAGAUGCUCGUUAAGCGCAGAAGGACGAAAAGACCCCGGGACCUUUACUAUACCUUGGUAUUGGCAUUAGGCGCGGAUUGUGUAGCAUAGGCGGGAGGCUUCGAGGCGGGUGCGCCAGCAUCCGCGGAGCCGCAAGGUGAAAUACCGCUCUGUUCUCGUUUGAUGUCUAACCUCGAACAGUCAUCCUGUUCAGGGACAGUGCCUGGCGGGUAGUUCAACUGGGGCGGUUGCCUCCCAAAGAGUAACGGAGGCGCUCAAAGGUCCGCUCGGCCCGGUUGGCAAUCGGGUGUCGAGUGUAAUCGCACAAGCGGGCUUGACUGCGAGAUCGACGGAUCGAGCAGGGACGAAAGUCGGAGAUAGUGAUCCGGUGCCGGCGCACGGGCGCGGCAUCGCUCAACGGAUAAAAGGUACCCCGGGGAUAACAGGCUGAUCAUUCCCAAGAGUCCAUAUCGACGGGAUGGUUUGGCACCUCGAUGUCGGCUCGUCGCAUCCUGGGGCUGGAGCAGGUCCCAAGGGUUCGGCUGUUCGCCGAUCAAAGCGGCACGCGAGCUGGGUUCAGAACGUCGUGAGACAGUUUGGUCUCUAUCCUCUGCGCUCGUUGGAAUCUUGAGGAGGCCUGCCCAUAGUACGAGAGGACCUGGGUGGACGAACCUCUGGUAUGCCGGUCGUCACGCCAGUGGCGCGGCCGGUUGGCUACGUUCGGAAGGGAUAACCGCUGAAAGCAUCUAAGCGGGAAGCCUUCUCCAAGAUAAGGAUUCCAUGCGGCCCCGAGCCGCUGAAGACCCCAUGCAGAACACGUGGUCGAUAGGCCGGACGUGGAAGCCCCGCGAGGGGUGGAGCCGACCGGUACUAAUGGUCGAGAGGCAACCCACA